CCUACGGGGGGCUGCAGUGGGGAAUUUUGGACAAUGGGGGAAACCCUGAUCCAGCCAUGCCGCGUGCGGGAAGAAGGCCUUCGGGUUGUAAACCGCUUUUGGCAGGAACGAAACGGCGCGCGCCAACACCGCGCGCUAAUGACGGUACCUGCAGAAUAAGCACCGGCUAACUACGUGCCAGCAGCCGCGGUAAUACGUAGGGUGCGAGCGUUAAUCGGAAUUACUGGGCGUAAAGCGUACGCAGGCGGCUAUGCAAGACAGGUGUGAAAUCCCCGGGCCCAACCUGGGAACUGCACUUGUGACUGCAUGGCUAGAGUCCGUAAGAGGGGGGUGGAAUUCCACGUGUAGCAGUGAAAUGCGUAGAGAUGUGGAGGAACACCGAUGGCGAAGGCAGCCCCCUGGGAUGAGACUGACGCUCAUGUACGAAAGCGUGGGGAGCAAACAGGAUUAGAUACCCUAGUAGUCA
Molecule: ribosomal RNA, 466 nt
Filed under: uncultured Alcaligenaceae bacterium
Lineage: Bacteria; Pseudomonadati; Pseudomonadota; Betaproteobacteria; Burkholderiales; Alcaligenaceae
Description: bacterial SSU rRNA
Rfam family: Bacterial small subunit ribosomal RNA
Source: RNAcentral